CAACACAAUCAGGCUUUUGGUCUGGUUGAGUCUAUUCUCUCCUCUGUACCAGGACAAGGUCACAUCUUUCCGGUUCUUCACAGUGCACACCACUGAACAGCUUUAGAGGAAUGAACCAUUUGUUCAAAUGGAGAAGGCUUGCCAGACUGAUGUUCAUGCUGCUAUAUUUUGUCAUUGAUGUGCUCUGUGCUUCCCAGCAAACAGUCCAGUCUGAGACUCAGCACGUAAAAGGCGUCGUGGGACAGUCUUUCUCUUUUCCAGAGAGGGUGAUCAAGUCUGGCAAUUUACUUUAUGGAGACCUUGGCACUAUUGCAAAUGUGUACCCUGGUAAAGAAGGCAAAAUCACCCUUGAGAAGAGAUUUGAAAAGCGCCUCCACUUGAACAAUGUUACAAGAUACUUCACCCUGUCAGACCUUCAGAUAGACGAUGCUGGGGUUUAUACUGUGGAGAAUACAGAUGGAGGAAAAAAAAAAAGUUUGAGCUCACUGUAUACAAUGUUGUUUCCAAACCUCAGGUGACGGAGUGUGGCAGCAGUUCCUGUAGUGUGGUGUGUUCUGUCGACAACGAAAAAGAGGUGACAUUGACCUUGUACAGGGGAGAGGAAAAACUAAACCAGACCAGCAGUCCUAAUCUCAACACCGAUCUAUCUCUCCGUUUGGAGGUAGAGGGAAAGAACUACAACUCCACCUACAGCUGUGUGGCUGCUAACCCUAUCAGCAAUGAGACAGUUCAUGUCCCAAAAUGUUGCAGCGAAGAUGGUCAUCGUAAUGAUGCAGAUAGUGAUGAGAGGAAUCGGGGUAUUCUUAUUAUUGCUGUAAUCUGUGUUUUGGUUAUCUCGGGGCUGGUUGGACUUGCAAUCUAUCUAAAGAAGAGUAGAAAUGGACACUCACAAGGCAGAUUCAUCUGAAAGAGUGAAAGAUGAUAUUCAGUAUGCAACGAUAACUCCUCAAAAACAAACAGAUAAUCAGGAGGAGCGAACCGGUAUACCAGAACUGGAGUCGCAAAGAGACAACCCUGAACUGACAUCAGUUUAUGAUACACUUCUGUUACAUCGCAUGGCUGCCAGCGGGGAUGUUGACACAGCAUGAAGGAACAAAACGGGAAGUCAAUAAGCGGCCGACAUGAUAACUGACAUCCUGGAGAGGACGGUAUAUCAUAAAGAGGACGUUGAAACAAAAUGAAAGUAAAAAAUAUAUUCACCCUGAAAACCUUUUAGAGGCACAGUUGUUAUGGGAGAAAAACUGUUGUACUGAUAUUAUAAUGUCAGGCUUUCUUUGUAGGUCAUUCUCACAGACCUUCUGUCAAAUAGCUGUCUCGAUGACAUCCACUGAUACGGACCAAUUCAAUAGCUAUGCAUUGAGUUAGUAGCAGGAUCAGGAUAAUCCUUUUUUCCUUUACAUUUACAUUUACAUUUACGUCAUUUAGCAGACGCUCUUAUCCAGAGCGACUUACAAAUUGGUGCAUUCAUCUUAUAUAAAAAAAAAUCCUUUCACCGUGUAUGUUGUAUUGAAACACGUCCGAGGGUAGAUCUUGAUUUGCCGUUUGAUCUUGAGUGACAUUUUCCUAUUCUUAGCGCUUUUUGCAAAAUGUAGGGCUAAAUUGUAGCUCUUAAUUAGCUUGUUUCGUUUAAUAUGAUGGACCAUUUAUUGGUUGUCCCUAUCUAUGUAGCACAUCCUCCCUUAAGAAUACAAUCACUCCCUCCUGCAGACUCAUGCAGACACUGUACACUCUCCUUGUAUCAGAGCAUGUGCCUGCACAGAUUACUGUGACCCGAAAAUAACAAAUCUGUCGAUACCAUAGUAAGUCGUUGCACUGUAGGCUAUUUCAUUUUUAUACUACUCUAUUUCAGAGUAGUUACUGAGACUGAAUAUGAAGAUAUAAUUCACUUUUCACUAUUUUAAAAUAACCUCAUGACUUAUUCAAACUGAGCUUCAAUAUAUUAAGUCAAAGACUUACCCAUACAUUUCAUUUAAAGGUAUACAAUGUGUAUAUUUCCUGAUGUUUAAUAGUCAUCAAUACCCAUGGAUGCUUGAAAUAUAUAAUUUUUUGACAUACCCUAUUGCAACCCAAAAUAUUAUGUUUGACAACUCCAUUCUCCAUUUAUGUUUUUGUUGUCAUUUUAAAUCUUUGUAAACAAAGUAUGUAUUGCUUCAGAAUACUGGUGUAAACUGUCAUUCCUUGAAGCCAUAGCUGCAUCUAUGAGUUUGAGAGUGGAAACAUUUCUCCAAAUACAUUUCUCCAGAACCACAAAUCCAAAUUGUGGUUUUAAUGUAGCCUACUUCUAGGGUCAAAUCGGAGGGACCACUGUAAUUGUUUAGUGGAUUUCAAUUGUGUAUAUUUAUUGAGUUUAAGUGUAUUUGUGACCUUUUGUCCUGUCAUUUUGCAUGCCAGGCAGCUGUACAUUUCAAAUUGGAAAACAAUAAUGACUGUAAACAGUGAAUUCUUAACUUUUUAUUUCAAAAUCAAAUUCAAUUUUAUUCCAAUCUCGUUGCCCCAUUUAGUGGUUGAAUGUUUUUAUAUUUCAGCAUACUGUAUACACAAUGCUUUUAGCCAGUGAUCUGUAUGUUGUAAGUGUAACUUAAGUUAUGUGCCACCAAAAUGUUUCAAAUCUUUCUCUGCUUUUCGUUUGGACUGUGGUUAUUAUUUUGCCAAUUGAAUAUUGAUAAAGGAGGUUGUGGAUUAUGCCAUA
RNA transcript from Coregonus clupeaformis (lake whitefish), 2689 nucleotides. It is a transcript of the gene named SLAM family member 5, with no coding region annotated. The record is from RefSeq and is a predicted model, not a curated record. Lineage: Eukaryota; Metazoa; Chordata; Actinopteri; Salmoniformes; Salmonidae. The transcript is spliced from 6 exons.